AUGGCGGCGAGCAGCUUCAUGGGGUCGUCGUCGCGGCUCCGCGUCGGCCUCCUCCCGUCCGUGACCCCGCGCCUCGGCCGCCGCGCACUCGCCGCCCGCGCCUCCGCGGACGGCGGCGGCGGCCCGGUCCGCGUCCGCUUCGCGCCGUCGCCCACCGGCAACCUCCACGUCGGGGGCGCCCGCACCGCGCUCUUCAACUACCUCUUCGCGCGCUCCAGGGGCGGCAAGUUCGUCCUCCGCGUCGAGGACACCGACCUCGAGCGCUCCACCAAGAAGUCCGAGGAGGCCGUCCUCAGCGACCUCUCCUGGCUCGGCCUCGACUGGGACGAAGGCCCGGACAUUGGUGGCGAUUUCGGCCCUUACCGCCAGUCUGAGCGCAAUGCUCUGUACAAAGAGCAUGCCCAGAAGCUAAUGGAGUCUGGUGCUGUUUAUCGCUGCUUCUGCUCUAGUGAGGAACUUGAGAAAAUGAAGGUAACUGCGAAUCAGAUGAAGAUUCCUCCUGUAUACAUGGGGAAGUGGGCUACUGCUUCAGAUGCAGAAGUUCAACAAGAGUUAGAGAAAGGCACACCUUAUACUUACCGUUUCCGAGUGCCAAAGGAAGGUUCACUGAAAAUUAACGACCUUAUUCGUGGUGAGGUCAGUUGGAAUCUAAACACACUUGGUGAUUUCGUGAUCAUGAGAAGCAAUGGCCAGCCAGUGUAUAACUUCUGUGUUACGGUUGAUGAUGCUACCAUGCGCAUCUCUCACGUUAUCAGAGCUGAGGAGCACCUACCAAACACAUUACGGCAAGCCCUCAUUUAUAAAGCUCUUGGAUUUGCAAUGCCUUUAUUUGCCCAUGUCUCACUCAUUCUGGCUCCUGAUAAAAGUAAACUCUCUAAACGUCAUGGGGCUACUUCUGUGGGGCAGUAUAAAGAGAUGGGCUAUCUGCCUCAGGCAAUGGUCAAUUAUUUAGCACUCUUGGGCUGGGGUGAUGGCACUGAAAAUGAGUUCUUCACCAUUGAUGACUUGGUUGAGAAGUUCACUAUCAAUCGCGUCAAUAAAAGUGGAGCAGUCUUUGACGCAACAAAAUUGAAAUGGAUGAAUGGACAGCAUCUACGGUCACUUCCUUCUGAUUUGCUCAUCAAGGACUUCGAAGAUCGAUGGAGGAGCACAGGCAUUCUUCUGGAGUCUGAAAGUGGUUUUGCUAAAGAAGCUGCUGAGCUUUUGAAGGAGGGCAUUGACUUGAUAACAGAUGCGGAUGCUGCCCUUUGCAAAUUAUUGUCGUAUCCCCUUCAUGACACUUUAAGCAGUGAUGAAGCUAAAUCUGUGGUGGAAGACAAACUUUCUGAGGUUGCAUCGGGUCUCAUUGCUGCUUAUGAUAGUGGUGAGCUUGGUCAAGCACUAGCUGAAGGCCAUGAUGGUUGGAAGAAGUGGGUGAAAUCUUUUGGCAAGACUCACAAAAGGAAGGGAAAGUCGCUAUUUAUGCCACUCCGAGUGCUGUUGACCGGGAAGCUUCACGGACCUGCCAUGGACAGUACCGUAAUCCUCGUUCACAAAGCAGGCACCUCUGGUGCGGUGGCCCCUCACUCUGGUUUCGUGAGUAUCGCUGAAAGGUUCAAGAUCCUGAAAGAGGUGGACUGGGAGUCACUGCAGAAACAACAAGAGUCCCCGGUUGAAUCUGCCGUUCCCGCGGCUUCGUAA
This 1680-nucleotide ribosomal RNA is filed under the name Triticum aestivum (bread wheat). Its description in RNAcentral is "partial small subunit ribosomal RNA". Lineage: Eukaryota; Viridiplantae; Streptophyta; Magnoliopsida; Poales; Poaceae. The record is from RNAcentral.